CUUCCACACUUCCUAUCCUUUCCUAGGUCCAUGAAAUGGAUCUGAAGAGCUCUGCUGGCAACACGUCUUAAGUAAAUAAUACUUACACUUUGUUAACGAGAAGGUUGGCUGGCUGUUGAUCAAGACACCAUCUCUACUGACAGCAGGCUUUGACUGGAGGAGACAGAGUGCUGUGGGAUUCCUGCUUGGAGGAGGAUCUACUCUGUGCUGGAGUUUCCUGCCCUGGAUUUGCUUUGGCGUCUACUUACCACUUCUGUCAAACUUCAUCAGUAUCUGUACUGCAGGGUCAGAAGCAGCAACUGCAUGUGCACCAUUGUUUCCUUCUUCAUACAUAUUGAGAGCCAGACUGGAAGUAAUCCAAGCAGCUUCAAUUUUGCCUAAAGUAGCAGAAGAGUUUCCCUUCCAUGCUUCCAGACCCAGAGAAGUGGCUGGUGCUUGAAAACCGAAGCAGCAACAAGAAAACUGUUAAGGAUGAGUUCCUCCUCCCGCCUCUCCAAAGGAUUUGAGUUUUGCUCUGCGAGUCCCUAAUGUGCCUGUGUAUGAUGAGGUGGUGAUGCUAAGGAAUGAUUGUUUGUCAGUCUGUAACAAGGUUUCCUCCACACCAGUUCAGCUGUACCUGGUAAGUCUGAGAAUCCGUACUCAAGCAUUUUUUACUGCUCUUGUCCCCUACAUGGGCCUGAAGCUCAGCUAAAGUCUAUAUGGAGAAAAAGAGUGGUAGUUUUAUGUUAGUUUCGUGCUGUGUUUUUUUAUGUCAGGAAAACUGAACUUUGCAGACGUGAUAAUUAUGCUGUUCUUUUACAUAAUUCCCGGAGUUGAAUACAGUUGAACAUCUAAGUUGAGCAAUUAAAUUAAUGAAUAGUGUCACUGCAGAUUGUUUUAUUAAUUUAAUAUUAGAUGGGUAGGGGGCCAACACUGUGGAAUGAAUCAUUUUUAAUGCACACCCAUAAAUUAGCAAGCAUUGCUUGUGCUUCCUUUGUGUGUGUAAUUUUGCACUUCAGCAGAGAAUUAUAAACUGUAAUUAGUUUGCAACUGAACAUACAAAGGUUCAAUGGCCUUCUCAUUGCAUCAAAGAACUGCGCUAAAA
RNAcentral lists this long non-coding RNA (1084 nucleotides) under Struthio camelus australis. RNAcentral's name for it is "lncRNA (ENSSCUG00000003922.1)". The record is from RNAcentral. Lineage: Eukaryota; Metazoa; Chordata; Aves; Struthioniformes; Struthionidae.